GACGAACGCUGGCGGCGUGCCUAACACAUGCAAGUCGAACGGAAAGGCACUGCUUUUGUGGGGUGAUCGAGUGGCGAACGGGUGAGUAACACGUGAGUAACCUGCCCUUGACUUUGGGAUAACUUCAGGAAACUGGGGCUAAUACCGGAUAGGAGCUCCUGCUGCAUGGUGGGGGUUGGAAAGUUUCGGCGGUUGGGGAUGGACUCGCGGCUUAUCAGCUUGUUGGUGGGGUAGUGGCUUACCAAGGCUUUGACGGGUAGCCGGCCUGAGAGGGUGACCGGCCACAAUGGGACUGAGAGACGGCCCAGACUCCUACGGGAGGCAGCAGGGGGGAAUAUUGCACAAUGGGCGGGAGUCGGAGGCAGCAACGCCGCGGGCGGGAUGACGGCCUUCGGGUUGUAAACCGCUUUCGCCUGUGACGAAGCGUGAGUGACGGUAAUGGGUAAAGAAGCACCGGCUAACUACGUG
RNAcentral lists this ribosomal RNA (468 nucleotides) under uncultured bacterium. RNAcentral's name for it is "partial 16S ribosomal RNA". It matches the Rfam family "Bacterial small subunit ribosomal RNA", at positions 28 to 507 of the family's 1533-position model. The record is from RNAcentral.